Beta vulgaris subsp. vulgaris (sugar beet) is the source of this 959-nucleotide long non-coding RNA. RefSeq lists it as uncharacterized. The transcript has 2 exons. Lineage: Eukaryota; Viridiplantae; Streptophyta; Magnoliopsida; Caryophyllales; Amaranthaceae. The record is from RefSeq and is a predicted model, not a curated record.
AGUCGGUUGUGUUAAUUUCGGAUUUAUAAAGGUUAAUCCGAGUUCACCCGAUCUAGGGAUACCACUUUUAGAAGGAUAUAAAAAGGAAAAUAAGAGGAGAAAUUUCAGAAACCCUAAAUUUCUUCCUUUCCUCUCUCAGCCGUCACUCCACCUUUCUUCUCUCUCAAUUUCUCUCUCCUCUCCGCUGCUCUCCUCUCCUCCCUUGCUGGUCUUCUCGCUCUCGCUGUUUUCCUCCCUCAACUUCUCUCUUCGUCUCUCUCGCCGUGGGCUGCUGUGCGAGGCUCACAUGGGUGAGGCUUUGCGAGUGCGGAACGCAGCGAGUGUGUCGGUGUGUGGGCGAGCCUUCGACGAGGCUCGAGGGUUUUGAUUACGCGAGGCUUGGGUGUGAGUUCGGGGGUGCUGAUUUCGCAUGGCGAGUGCGAGAUUGGAUGAGCGUCGCUGUUGUGCGAACGACGGGCGAGGGCUAGGUGCACGUUGGGUGGUGUGAACCUUCGACGAGACUCGAAAGCUGUGCGAGCGAAGAGCGUAGUGUGCGAAGGUGUGUGUGAGAAUCGUGGGUGAGACGAGCGAGCGGCUGUGCGACGAGGCUCGAAGGGCGCGACGAGGGUGGCGCGAGUCUGCUGUUGCUACUGCUUGGUGUGACGUGCGCGAGCGGGUGAGCGUGGUGGUCGCGCGAGUAGGUGAGUGUGGCUGUGCGCCGUUGCCGGAGGUUGGUCGCCGGAGUUUGGUUGCCGGCGAGCGUAACGACUAGGUGUGCUGGUGCUGCUGCAUGAUAUCGAGCAUACGGGGACUAGGCUUUGGUAUUUACAUUUAAAGCAUUUGAAACAAGCAUUAUUGGUUUUUCUAAGACUUAUAUAAAUGGUUUGUGGUUUGAAUGAAAGGGGUCAUUGAUGAUUCCCAAGUUGUAUCUAUAUUUUAAUUCCGCUACAUUUUAGUUUUCGAGACAAUGUUUUAAGUUA